This 776-nucleotide ribosomal RNA is filed under the name uncultured Neocallimastigales. RNAcentral's name for it is "partial large subunit ribosomal RNA". It matches the Rfam family "Eukaryotic large subunit ribosomal RNA", at positions 23 to 616 of the family's 3401-position model. Lineage: Eukaryota; Fungi; Neocallimastigomycota; Neocallimastigomycetes; Neocallimastigales. The record is from RNAcentral.
AGAGAGAGACAUGCGCGCAUAUCAAUAAGCGGAGGAAAAGAAACUAACAAGGAUUCCCCUAGUAACGGCGAGUGAAGCGGGAAGAGCUCAAAUUUGAAAUCUUAAAGGGUUUCCCUUUACGAAUUGUAGUUUAAAGAAGUGUUUUCUGUUGAGGUUUUGGUAAAAGUUCUUUGGAAUAGGACAUCAUAGAGGGUGAGAAUCCCGUAUUUGACCUUUACUUUCAACUUUGUGAUACACUUUCAAAGAGUCGGAUUGUUUGGGAAUGCAGUCCAAAAUGGGUGGUAAAUUUCAUCUAAAGCUAAAUAUUGGCGAGAGACCGAUAGCGAACAAGUACCGUGAGGGAAAGAUGAAAAGAACUUUGAAAAGAGAGUUAAACAGUACGUGAAAUUGUCAAAAGGGAAGCGUUUGACACCAGUGUUGUUUUUCUGAAAAUCAAUUAAAGAACUGUUUAUGCUAAGCUGUUUAGACUUUAUCAGCUAACUGUUUAGUUUUGAGCUUUUCUUUAAUGCACUUUUCAGUUAACAAGUCAACAUCAAUUUCUUUUGCUGUAAAAAAGCUUGAGGAAGGUGGCUUGAGAUUCGUCUUAAGUGUUUAUAGCCUCUUGCCUAUGCAGUCGGAGAGAUUGAGGUCUGCAGCGUAGAUCCUUCGGGGCUAAAUGCAUUUGUGCUAAGUUAUAGCAUUUUAUAGACAACUUGUUGACUAUGAUUUGUCUUGUAGCUUACUCGCUUAUGCUCUAUUCUACCUACGCUUAGGAUGUUGAGCGCAUGUCUCUCUCU